GUGUUGUAAGAAAGGAGAGAAGGUUAGCACUCUCCUUGGCAAGCAUGGGUCUGACAACAGGUAUAUGGUUAAGGCAUUCCCACCUACUCCAUGACAUCUAACCAUCAUUGUUA
This is a small nuclear RNA of Dipodomys ordii (Ord's kangaroo rat), 113 nucleotides long. The record is from Ensembl. NCBI's taxonomy places the organism in Eukaryota, Metazoa, Chordata, Mammalia, Rodentia, Heteromyidae.